Molecule: ribosomal RNA, 425 nt
Filed under: uncultured soil bacterium
Lineage: Bacteria
Description: bacterial SSU rRNA
Rfam family: Bacterial small subunit ribosomal RNA
Source: RNAcentral
UAAGACCUCGCGUUAAUGGAGUGGCCGAUAUCUGAUUAGCUAGUUGGUGAGGUAAAGGCUCACCAAGGCGACGAUCAGUAGCUGGUCUGAGAGGACGACCAGCCACACUGGAACUGAGGCACGGUCCAGACUCCUACGGGAGGCAGCAGUGGGGAAUUUUGGACAAUGGGCGCAAGCCUGAUCCAGCCAUUCCGCGUGAGUGAAGAAGGCCUUCGGGUUGUAAAGCUCUUUCGCAAGGGAAGAAAACUUACUCAAUAACACUGGGUGAGGCUGACGGUACCUUGAUAAGAAGCACCGGCUAACUACGUGCCAGCAGCCGCGGUAGUACGUAGGGUGCGAGCGUUAAUCGGAAUUACUGGGCGUAAAGCGUGCGCAGGCGGUUUUGUAAGUCAGAUGUGAAAGCCCCGGGCUCAACCUGGGAACUG